This is a long non-coding RNA of Aplysia californica (California sea hare), 213 nucleotides long. RefSeq lists it as uncharacterized. The record is from RefSeq and is a predicted model, not a curated record. NCBI's taxonomy places the organism in Eukaryota, Metazoa, Mollusca, Gastropoda, Aplysiida, Aplysiidae. The transcript has 2 exons.
GCUGACGGUGAAUGUAACAGUGUGCCGUGCCGUGCCCUCUCUCUCUCUCUCCCUCACACAGAACUAACCGACAAACUGAAAGAGGUUCAGGAUGAGCACAGACAAGUCAUGGAGGAGUUGCGCAACGCUAACUCUAACUCAGCAGAUCUACAGCGUCAGUUGACGGCCAGCCAGGUGAAAGCCGAGGAGCUGGCGGCAGACAAAGGCAAACUG